This 433-nucleotide ribosomal RNA is filed under the name uncultured bacterium. Its description in RNAcentral is "partial 16S ribosomal RNA". It matches the Rfam family "Bacterial small subunit ribosomal RNA", at positions 29 to 507 of the family's 1533-position model. The record is from RNAcentral.
AACGAACGCUGGCGGCAUGCCUAACACAUGCAAGUCGAACGAGUCCUUCGGGUCUAGUGGCGCACGGGUGCGUAACGCGUGAGAACCUGCCCUUAGGUUCGGAAUAACUCCCCGAAAGGGGUGCUAAUACCGGAUAAUGUCUUCGGACCAAAGAUUUAUCGCCUUUGGAUGGGCCCGCGUUGGAUUAGCUAGUUGGUAGGGUAAAAGCCUACCAAGGCGACGAUCCAUAGCUGGUCUGAGAGGAUGAUCAGCCACACUGGGACUGAGACACGGCCCAGACUCCUACGGGAGGCAGCAGUGGGGAAUAUUGGACAAUGGGCGAAAGCCUGAUCCAGCAAUGCCGCGUGAGUGAUGAAGGCCUUAGGGUUGUAAAGCUCUUUUACCCGGGAUGAUAAUGACAGUACCGGGAGAAUAAGCUCCGGCUAACUCCGUG